RNAcentral lists this ribosomal RNA (855 nucleotides) under Triticum aestivum (bread wheat). Its description in RNAcentral is "partial small subunit ribosomal RNA". Lineage: Eukaryota; Viridiplantae; Streptophyta; Magnoliopsida; Poales; Poaceae. The record is from RNAcentral.
AUGACUAAGACUAUCACCUCGUGCGAUUGGGUCGCUUCCACUGGCACGGAGCAAACUCUUGACGAAUAUGUUCAAGUGGGCGUCUUAUCAGCCAAAGAUGUUAUCCACUGGCGAGCUCCAGGGACAGAAGUUAGACCUCAGCCAAAGGAAGGUGAAGUCAUAGUUUUUGUUGAUCAUAUGAACCGUGGUUUCUCACCACCUGGCUCAAAGUUCUUUCGCGAUGUACUGCACUUUUUUCAACUUCACCCCCAAGAUAUUGGACCAAACUCCGUUUCCAACAUCUUCAAUUUCCAAGUCUUUUGUGAAGUAUACCUUCAAGAAGAACCCAACACUGACCUUUUCAGAGAGUACUAUUAUUUGAACCGCCAGACCGUGUUUACAGACGGGCCCAUCCUAGAACUUGGUGGAAUUUCAAUUCAUAGACGUAGAGAUGUUAUGUUCCCCGCAGCUACACUUCCUAGUCAUCCUAUAGACUGGAAUCAGGCCUGGUUUUACUGCCAAGACACAUCUCCACCUGGCGAAAAUCCUCUGUCGGGUUUCCGCGACCGCCGGCUUAGCCCAAAACAUCCACUUCUAGACCAGAUCAGCACCGCUGAAUGGGUUAAGUAUUUGCCUACCUUUUUGAAGGUAAGAGCCUUGCUAGCUAUUGGAUUAACCGGAGUUGAUUUGGUCCGAUGCGGGGUCGCUUGGAGGAUCAUACCUUUGAGCCGCCGGCCUGGCUUAAUGUGUGAAUACACCUGCGAUGUCAAAGAUCCACAGUGUCACUGUCAAGUGCAUUUGGAAGAAAAAGAGAUCAAUGAAAUGACUAAGACGCUGCUCGGGGAAAGCUUAGAAAGCUGUAGUAAGACGGGUUGA